This 451-nucleotide ribosomal RNA is filed under the name uncultured bacterium. RNAcentral's name for it is "bacterial SSU rRNA". It matches the Rfam family "Bacterial small subunit ribosomal RNA", at positions 354 to 796 of the family's 1533-position model. The record is from RNAcentral.
GUGGGGGAUAUUGCGCAAUGGGCGAAAGCCUGACGCAGCGACGCCGCGUGGGUGAUGAAGGCCUUCGGGUCGUAAAGCCCUGUCGAGGGGAAAGAACCGGCUCCACCCUAAUACGGUGGAGCCCUGACGGUACCCCUAAAGGAAGCACCGGCUAACUCCGUGCCAGCAGCCGCGGUAAUACGGAGGGUGCUAGCGUUGUUCGGAAUCACUGGGCGUAAAGCGCGUGUAGGCGGCCGACUAAGUCUGAUGUGAAAGCCCGGGGCUCACCCCCGGAAGUGCAUUGGAAACUGGUAGGCUCGAGUCCCGGAGAGGAGGGUGGAAUUCCUGGUGUAGCGGUGAAAUGCGUAGAUAUCAGGAGGAACACCGGUGGCGAAGGCGGCCCUCUGGACGGUGACUGACGCUGAGACGCGAAAGCGUGGGGAGCAAACAGGAUUAGAAACCCUUGUAGUCC